GUUGAUUUUUCUAGUGCUGCAAGUUGAUGUUAUUUUUAUCAUGUCCGACCACCGCCAAGCCGGCCUAAUAGUACUUCCUCCUAUAAUUUUGGGAUAUGAUGAAUUAUACGACGAUAAUGGAGAAAAACAUGCAAAUAGUCGCCAACCACAUCAUCAUUCCCAAGAAAAUCACCGCCCAGACAAGAAUAUAGAUAACUAUUAUGACCAUGAACAACGCGAAACCAAUGACGGUAAAUUACGGUCACAUAAAAAAACGAAGCCAUGUCGCGGUUAAUAAAGGGCAUAUUUAUU
Long non-coding RNA from Vanessa atalanta (red admiral), 291 nucleotides. RefSeq lists it as uncharacterized. Lineage: Eukaryota; Metazoa; Arthropoda; Insecta; Lepidoptera; Nymphalidae. The transcript has 3 exons. The record is from RefSeq and is a predicted model, not a curated record.